Molecule: unclassified non-coding RNA, 497 nt
Filed under: Hevea brasiliensis (rubber tree)
Lineage: Eukaryota; Viridiplantae; Streptophyta; Magnoliopsida; Malpighiales; Euphorbiaceae
Source: RNAcentral
GAGAGAGAGAGAGAGAGAUUCUGCAGAAUUUCUCAUUCUUAGGGAUGAUAGUCAUGAAGUUUUCAAAGUUUUAUUUUGAAAAUUUUAAAUUUUAUGACAAUCUUGUGGCUAUUUUUGCAAAUGCUUUUGAAGUUUGAACCAUUACUGUUCAAGGUAUAUGUGUCCAGAUUGACUUUGAAAGUACUGUAUCUUGAUUGAUAUAACAGAAGGCUUUUGCUGGUCUCUCUGUCAUGGCCUGAGGUUGCUAAUAACAAAUUUUGGAGCUAUAUAGUGCAAUUGCAAGAGUAACACUGUUCAUUAGUUUUUGGCUGAUCGUGUCUUCUUAAAUUUUUUUUUUUUUGGCUACCAAUAUCAGAUGGUUUCUCUUUUUGUCAAACAUUGUCAAUCUAAUUCUUGGUUGGUUUCUUGUUUUAUGGUCUAGCUACCUUACUUGGGAAUGCUGUUUUUAUUUUAUUGUUAUUAUUUUAUGCUUCUGAGUCUCUGAUUUAAUAUCUGCA